This 460-nucleotide ribosomal RNA is filed under the name uncultured bacterium. RNAcentral's name for it is "partial 16S ribosomal RNA". It matches the Rfam family "Bacterial small subunit ribosomal RNA", at positions 338 to 795 of the family's 1533-position model. The record is from RNAcentral.
CCUACGGGGGGCAGCAGUGAGGAAUAUUGGUCAAUGGACGAGAGUCUGAACCAGCCAAGUAGCGUGAAGGAUGACUGCCCUAUGGGUUGUAAACUUCUUUUAUAUGGGAAUAAAAUGUUCCACGUGUGGGAUUUUGUAUGUACCAUAUGAAUAAGGAUCGGCUAACUCCGUGCCAGCAGCCGCGGUAAUACGGAGGAUCCGAGCGUUAUCCGGAUUUAUUGGGUUUAAAGGGAGCGUAGGUGGAUUGUUAAGUCAGUUGUGAAAGUUUGCGGCUCAACCGUAAAAUUGCAGUUGAAACUGGCAGUCUUGAGUACAGUAGAGGUGGGCGGAAUUCGUGGUGUAGCGGUGAAAUGCUUAGAUAUCACGAAGAACUCCGAUUGCGAAGGCAGUUCACUGGACUGUAACUGACACUGAGGCUCGAAAGUGUGGGUAUCAAACAGGAUUAGAUACCCGUGUAGUC